Molecule: transfer RNA, 72 nt
Filed under: Dipodomys ordii (Ord's kangaroo rat)
Lineage: Eukaryota; Metazoa; Chordata; Mammalia; Rodentia; Heteromyidae
Rfam family: tRNA
About the family: Transfer RNA (tRNA) molecules are approximately 80 nucleotides in length.
Source: Rfam by way of RNAcentral
GAGAAGGUGGCUCAGUGGUAGAGUGCUUGCCUUGCAUGCAUGAGGCCCUGGGUUCGAUUCCUUACCACCACA